ACUGCUCCCAGGCACAGAGCUAAAGGGGAAUUGGAGGCUGUGGCGUUCCUCUCUCCGUCCCCCUCUCUCUGGUGACUCGUGAUAAUGAACCGACCUUUUGGAGACAUUCUGUGCCCUCAAUAAAAACGGUCCCUGUCUGGAAACCCCCCGAGGAAACUGACUUCCUCCCCUGCUGCCUGGGCUGCCGUAGCUCUUCCGGCACCUGCUCUUCUGGCACCUGCCCUGUGCUGGCCCCUCCUGCAAGAAUCAGGAGCCCUCAUCUCAGUCCGCGCUGCAGAACCAGCCCAGGAGAGCAGCUGGCCUGUCGUCUGCUGAGGAGCAAAGGUGGCUGUGCCCAGGACUGCAAUGGCCUCCCACACCACCUCACAACCCUGGUCCAGGCUCGCUGACAGAUGAGGAAACUGAGGCAGGGACCCUGGUCUCACGGCCAUUGGUGCAGAGCUGGGAUCCAAGACCGGGUGGGCUCUUUGUCA
Molecule: long non-coding RNA, 473 nt
Filed under: Pongo abelii (Sumatran orangutan)
Lineage: Eukaryota; Metazoa; Chordata; Mammalia; Primates; Hominidae
Description: lincRNA
Source: RNAcentral